UCCCUGGUGGUCCAGUGGUUAGGACUCUGCAGUCUCAAUGCAGGGGGCCCAGGUUCAAUCCCUAGUCAGGGAA
Molecule: non-coding RNA, 73 nt
Organism: Bos taurus (domestic cattle)
Lineage: Eukaryota; Metazoa; Chordata; Mammalia; Artiodactyla; Bovidae
Source: Rfam